This 374-nucleotide ribosomal RNA is filed under the name uncultured bacterium. RNAcentral's name for it is "bacterial SSU rRNA". It matches the Rfam family "Bacterial small subunit ribosomal RNA", at positions 524 to 898 of the family's 1533-position model. The record is from RNAcentral.
UACGAAGGGUGCGAGCGUUAUUCGGAUUGAUUGGGCGUAAAGGGUGCGCAGGUGGUUCGCUAAGUCAAUCGUUAAAUUUCCCGGCUUAACCGGGAAUCGGCGGUAGAUACUGGCAGACUAGAGGAUGGAAGAGAGAAGUGGAAUUCUCGGAGUAGCGGUAAAAUGCGUAGAUCUCGAGAGGAACACCGAUGGCGAAGGCAGCUUCUUGGUCCAUUUCUGACACUCAUGCACGAAAGCGUGGGGAGCAAACAGGAUUAGAUACCCUGGUAGUCCACGCUGUAAACGAUGAUCACUAGACGUUUGUCCGCUUGCGGAUGAGUGUCGUAGCUAACGCGUUAAGUGAUCCGCCUGGGGAUUACGGUCGCAAGAUUAAA